UACGGGGGGGGGCAAGCGUUGUUCGGAAUUACUGGGCGUAAAGGGCGCGUAGGCGGUUCGCUAAGUUGAAUGUGAAAACUCUGGGCUUAACCCAGAGCCUGCAUUCAAUACUGGCGGGCUAGAGUUCUGGAGGGGAUAGCGGAAUUCCUGGUGUAGCGGUGAAAUGCGUAGAUAUCAGGAGGAACACCGGUGGCGAAGGCGGGUCUCUGGGCCGAUACUGACGCUGAGGAGCGAAAGCGUGGGGAGCGAACAGG
RNAcentral lists this ribosomal RNA (254 nucleotides) under uncultured bacterium. RNAcentral's name for it is "partial 16S ribosomal RNA". It matches the Rfam family "Bacterial small subunit ribosomal RNA", at positions 524 to 776 of the family's 1533-position model. The record is from RNAcentral.